RNAcentral lists this ribosomal RNA (255 nucleotides) under uncultured bacterium. Its description in RNAcentral is "partial 16S ribosomal RNA". It matches the Rfam family "Bacterial small subunit ribosomal RNA", at positions 793 to 1055 of the family's 1533-position model. The record is from RNAcentral.
GUCCACGCCGUAAACGAUGGAUACUAGCUGUUGGGAGCGAUCUCAGUGGCUAAGCGAAAGUGAUAAGUAUCCCACCUGGGGAGUACGUUCGCAAUAAUGAAACUCAAAGGAAUUGACGGGGGCCCGCACAAGCGGUGGAGCAUGUGGUUUAAUUCGAUGAUACGCGAGGAACCUUACCAAGGCUUAAAUGUAGAUUGACCGGUUUGGAAACAGAUCUUUCGCAAGACAAUUUACAAGGUGCUGCAUGGUUGUCGU